Otolemur garnettii (small-eared galago) is the source of this 1166-nucleotide RNA transcript. It is a transcript of the gene named protein arginine N-methyltransferase 1 pseudogene, with no coding region annotated. The record is from RefSeq and is a predicted model, not a curated record. The transcript has a single exon. Lineage: Eukaryota; Metazoa; Chordata; Mammalia; Primates; Galagidae.
AGAUGGCGGCAGCCCAGCGCGUGAACUGCAUCCUGGAGGUUUCCUGUGGCCAGGCGGAAAGCAGCGAGAAGCCCAAUGCUGAGGACAUGACGUCCAAAGAUUACUACUUCGACUCUUACACCCACUUUGGCAUCCAUUAGGAGAUGCUGAAGGAUGAGGUGUGCACCCUCACCUACCGUAACUCCAUGUUUCACAACCGGCACCUCUUCAAGGACAAGGUGGUGCUGGACGUAGGCUCGGGCACAGGGAUCCUCUGCAUGUUUGCUGCCAAGGCUGGGGCCCAUAAGGUUAUCAGGAUCGAGUGUUCCAGAAUCUCUGAUUAUGCGGUGAAGAUCGUCAAAGCCAACAAGUUAGACCAUGUGGUGACCAUCAUCAAGGGGAAGGUGGAGGAAGUGGAGCUGCCGGUGGAAAAGGUGGACAUCAUCAUCAUUGAGUGAAUGGGCUACUGCCUUUUCUACGAGUCCAUGCUCAGCACCGUGCUAUAUGCCCGAGACAAGUGGCUGGCGCCUGAUGGCCUCAUCUUCCCAGACCGAGCCACACUGUAUGUAACAGCUAUUGAGGACCAACAGUACAAAGACUACAAGAUCCACUGGUGGGAGAACGUGUACGGCUUUGAUAUGUCCUGCAUCAAAGAUGUGGCCAUCAAGCCCCUAGUGGACGUGGUGGACCCCAAGCAGCUGGUCACUAAUGCCUGCCUCAUAAAGGAGGUGGACAUCUACACUGUCAAGGUGGAAGGCCUGACCUUCACUUCUCUCGUCUGUCUGCAAGUGAAGCGGAAUGACUACGUGCACGCCCUGGUGGCUUACUUCAACAUCGAGUUCACCCGCUGCCACAAGAGGACCGGCUUCUCUACCAGCCCCGAGCCCCCAUACACACACUGGAAGGAGACAUUGUUCUACAUGGAGGACUACCUGACAGUGAAGACUGGCGAGGAGAUCUUUGGCACCAUAGGCAUGCGGCCCAAUGCCAAGAACAAUCGGGACCUGGACUUUACCAUUGACCUGGACUUCAAGGGCCAGCUGUGUGAGCUGUCCUGCUCCAUUGACUACCGGAUGCGCUGAGGCGGCCCUGCUCUCCAGGCGGCCCUGCAGGGCCCAGGGGCUGUGGUGUUCGGUUUCUGGGCUUACUCUUCCUCUCCCUCCCUCCCACAGAAGGAGGUUUGGGGG